RNAcentral lists this long non-coding RNA (2386 nucleotides) under Homo sapiens (human). RNAcentral's name for it is "HSALNT0307706". Lineage: Eukaryota; Metazoa; Chordata; Mammalia; Primates; Hominidae. The record is from RNAcentral.
GACUUGUAACGCUAGCUAUCUUUAGGUCUCUAGAUAUUGCACCCUCCAUAUGCAAUCAGAUUCUAAAACUUCUGAUAAAAAAUGCAUCUCCUGGAAAUGUCUGUGAAAAGGUUUGUAGACAACUAGUCAGUGUGGUAGACAGAACAAUGGAACCUAAGAAUAUGUAUAUGUUAUCUUGGCACAAGGGACUUUGCAGGUGUGAUCAAAUUAAGGAUCUUGAGGUGGAGAGAUUAUUCUGGAUUAUCUGGGUUGUCCCAGUGUGAUCACAAGGGUCUUAAUAUGGGAAAGGGGGAGGCAGGGGAGUCAGAUCAGAUUCAGAGAGAGAUUUGAAGAUGCGAUACUGCCGGCUUUAAAUGCCCAUUGAACUCUGCUUCAAAAAAUGAAAACACACCUCUAUAAAAUGUAUAUUGGGAAUAAACUUUGUAUUUACAUACAUUGGGGAAUUUUAAAAAAAUGUAAUGUUUGGACAUUACAUAUUUUACCAUAUUACUUUGCUAUAUUUGGACAUUCCAUAUUUUACCAUAUUACUUUGUUAUAAAAUUAUAAAUUUAACUUUUAAUACAGAUUGCCAGAAUAUUCUAGAUUAGAGAUUAGGUUUUUGUUUUCCUCAAGACAUAAAACAAGUAUGAACAUUCUAAACUGCUGGAUGAAUCUGAAAGACAGUAAUUUCAAAACUCAAUUUAUACUCAUGUUAAAUAUAACUACAUUAAGAGUUUAAAAUUUCAUGGGAGAAAAUAUAAUAAAGAGAUAGGAUCAUUUAUAGUCUUAAGAAUAAUGUUGGUUUCCCAAGUGCGUUUCUUAGCAAUUAAAGCAUAAGGUGAAUUGAAAUUUGCUUCAUAGGCAGUUUGACUGUAUGUAUCAGAGAAUGAAAAGAGGACAUUUGUAGUAAUGCAUGGAAACUUGCUGCUUCAAAUUAAAGUUCUCCUCUGCUGUUGUAGAAUGGAUUCCAUACAGUAGCUAGUUGUGGAUGAUUCAGAAAAUUAUGAGUUUAGAGUCCCAGUUGUUAAUUUAUAAGUUUUGUGGGGAAGUAUCACCUGCAUUUGUGCUGAAUAAAAUAUACGUGGAUUCUUUAAAAAAAAUCACAAUUUUUUUCUAAAUUUAUUUUUUAAAAAGUUUUUAGAGAGAAUAAAUACAAAAUUAGUCAAUUUGAACAUGUUUUGUUCACAUUCUUUAAAUUGCUUGUUGGUCUCCUUAACAAUUUUUCUUUUCCUUUGACCCUCUGCUUUUCUCAUUUUUAUUUUCCUCCUUGAAGAAACGAUUCAUUCUAAGGGCUUUAAACAUUUCUUUUUGUGUUGAUGUUUAAAUCUUUUAUUAUUAGUCUCAUAUUCUCCCUCAAGACUCAGAAUUCUAGUACUCCUAAUGAACAUUUAUGUCCGUUGGGCAGUCCUGCUGCCAUCCUAAGCUACACAUACUGGGAAUGGAACUCAAUCAUCUUUUCUUUGCAAAUCAGUGUCUCUUACCAAUUUCUUUCAUUCUGUUUACCCAGUCUUCUAGGUUUGAAAUUUUGGGGUUGUUUUUAGGAUUUUGUAUUGCCUUCAUUUUCUUAAUUAAUCAGAGUCCUUCUAGUUCUAGUCUAGAAAUAUGUUUCAUAUCUGCCAUUCAUGUUCCACUAUGAUUUUGACUGUCUUGCAGUUCCUGAUAAUUUUAUGAAUAGAUUAAUAUAAUGCUGUUUAACUUAUUUUCUAUAUGCUUAAUUCAUUCUAGACAUAGCUGGAAGACAGAUCUUAAAUUAUAACUUUUUUUUUCCUAUAUGUUAUUCAAUGAAGAAUAAACCUAGUUUAGUAUUUCACUUGGUAAAGUGUAGUACGUCAUGCAUGAAUUGCAGCAUCAGGAUCACUUGUGAUAUUUGCCAGAGGUGGCCAUCCCACAUCACCUAAAUCAAAUCUCUGGGCAUGGAUUCUGGGAAUCAGCAUUUUUAGAAGGCAGCAUAAGUGAUUCCGAUGCACACUAACAUUUGAGAACUACUGGAAAGGAUAAAAUUCAACCUAAAAUUCAAAACCCUUUAACAUAUGGCCCUACCUUGUAUAUUCCAGUUUAUUUUUCACUAGUUCUAAUAUAAUCUUUUGCUCACUCUAACAGUCACUCUAGAUAUGCCACGAUCAAAUUGCUUCUGAGAAUUUGUUUAUAACCCCUUUAUUCAGAAUGCCUUAUUUUUUUUUUUUGCAUCCAUCCUUCAAGCCCUUCUUCUUUAUGGACUCUUUUAAGCUAUGUAUUAGUGAGCACCUACCAUUUAUGUCAGACACUUCAUGGAAAAUUUUUACUAUCCAUUAAGCAACCUAGGUAUAAUUGUUCCCAUUUUACAACCAAGGACAUUGAGACUUAGUGCAGUUAAGCAGCUUGCCCUAAGCCGUACAGGGUAGAAUAUUGAGAAGGAUAUUAAAUGGAG